RNAcentral lists this long non-coding RNA (285 nucleotides) under Homo sapiens (human). Its description in RNAcentral is "non-protein coding LINC01095:15". The record is from RNAcentral. Lineage: Eukaryota; Metazoa; Chordata; Mammalia; Primates; Hominidae.
ACUUCCCAGGAUUUAGCAACCAGGGCCUGGAAGGCAGACAAAGGUAACUGGCCCCAUGUGAUAAAAACAGGCCCGGGAGCAUCUUCAUUAAGGCAGGCAGUUUUGGGCCACCCGAUCAUGACCAUGGAUCUACGUGCUGGAACUUGAAAGUAUGUCCACGCUCAAGAUUUCUGUCUCUUCUAAAGCAAGAAAGGACUGGUUUUGCAUGCCCUGCCUAUGCACAUCUUUAUGAAAAUGUAACCUUUUCACUCACUUUCUGAACUCCACAAAAGAGUCAGCUUUCUC